RNAcentral lists this transfer-messenger RNA (367 nucleotides) under Ochrobactrum sp. It matches the Rfam family "Alphaproteobacteria transfer-messenger RNA". Rfam says of the family: Bacterial tmRNA, also known as 10Sa RNA or SsrA, is named for its dual tRNA and mRNA-like properties. Its role is to liberate the mRNA from a stalled ribosome. Lineage: Bacteria; Pseudomonadati; Pseudomonadota; Alphaproteobacteria; Hyphomicrobiales; Brucellaceae. The record is from RNAcentral. RNAcentral also lists the same sequence under 5 other names.
CCUCUUCCAAUCGCGGUCAACCGCGCCUAUAUACGGCGUGUCAGCGCAAGCUGACUAUGGUGAUAAACGGACGGUGUAAUAAACCCAUUGGACCCGGGGGCGGUACCCGGCGCCUCCACCAGAAUACAGAUCGGCUAGUGGUUUGUAUUGUGGCGGGGGCGAAACAGGAUCGACAAGGGUGUAAAGAUCGCUCUUUUACUCGGCAUGAUACCACCGUUAUCGGGUCAAUUGAGUAGUUGCAAAUGACAACAAAGCUCAGGGUUAUGCUCUCGCUGCCUAAUGGCGGUGCGGGAAACCCACUCUAAAGCCCUUGGGGUUAGCACCUUAAGGCGGGGUUCGGAGGCACCUGGCAACAGAAGCCUCCACU